UGCAAGUCGAGCGGAAACGAAGAGGUGCUUGCACCUUUGGCGUCGAGCGGCGGACGGGUGAGUAAUGCUUGGGAAUAUGCCUUAUGGUGGGGGACAACAGUUGGAAACGACUGCUAAUACCGCAUGAUGUCUACGGACCAAAGUGGGGGACCUUCGGGCCUCACGCCAUAAGAUUAGCCCAAGUGGGAUUAGCUAGUUGGUGAGGUAAUGGCUCACCAAGGCGACGAUCCCUAGCUGGUUUGAGAGGAUGAUCAGCCACACUGGGACUGAGACACGGCCCAGACUCCUACGGGAGGCAGCAGCGGGGAAUAUUGCACAAUGGGCGCAAGCCUGAUGCAGCCAUGCCGCGUGUGUGAAGAAGGCCUUCGGGUUGUAAAGCACUUUCAGUAAGGAGGAAAGGUUAAGUGUUAAUAGCGCUUAGCUGUGACGUUACUUACAGAAGAAGCACCGGCUAACUCCGUGCCAGCAGCCGCGGUAAUACGGAGGGUGCGAGCGUUAAUCGGAAUUACUGGGCGUAAAGCGUACGCAGGCGGUUUGUUAAGCGAGAUGUGAAAGCCCCGGGCUCA
Molecule: ribosomal RNA, 566 nt
Filed under: uncultured bacterium
Lineage: Bacteria
Description: bacterial SSU rRNA
Rfam family: Bacterial small subunit ribosomal RNA
Source: RNAcentral